AUGAAACAUGUGGCAUACUUAAAUCCGAAAGAACUUCAAAACCUAACAGACAAGAAAUAACGUAACAUUUACAGAUCUGCAGGUAAAUACGCUGUUAUGUAAAUAUUCUUAUCAGAUAUUAAUGUCCAGGAUCUCUGCAUGGUUAAAGUCUAAUUAGAUGGAAUUCCAACGGUAAAGAUAAUUUGUUAAAUGUAACACGAUAUCCUUUCAAGUCUGUUCGAAUUCUUUUGAACUGUGAAGUAAAUCAAUGUGAUAAAUCACACACCCUAGUAGGAAACAUUGGAGCCGGAAAACGCGCGUUUUCUUUCUUAACAUGAGAGUAUUGUUCAAUCAAAAGUGUUAUUUUGAAAUUUUUCAUUUCAAAUUAUUCUUAAUUAUGAUGGUUUGCGUAAAACUAUCAACAGCACCAAGCUUAGACAAUCAAUUCCAACGAAAUGACAAUAUGGAUGGAGAAGAGAUACAGAUUACACAGAAAAGAAAAAGAAAACAAAGUUAACAAGACAAAACCAGACCUGAAUUGAAAAAGCAGAAGAAAGGCAAAAAAGGAAAUACCAAGAACAUGACAACUAGACGCACCAUAUAUAGCUCAUAUGUAUAUGGCUAUAUAUGUCAAAAGAAACAGAUAUUGUAUUCUAUAAUACAG
Mytilus trossulus (common blue mussel) is the source of this 643-nucleotide long non-coding RNA. RefSeq lists it as uncharacterized. The transcript has 3 exons. NCBI's taxonomy places the organism in Eukaryota, Metazoa, Mollusca, Bivalvia, Mytilida, Mytilidae. The record is from RefSeq and is a predicted model, not a curated record.